UGUGGUUGUUGCGUCCUGAACUGACUUGG
Molecule: non-coding RNA, 29 nt
Filed under: Rattus norvegicus (Norway rat)
Lineage: Eukaryota; Metazoa; Chordata; Mammalia; Rodentia; Muridae
Source: RNAcentral